This 497-nucleotide ribosomal RNA is filed under the name uncultured bacterium. RNAcentral describes it as "partial 16S ribosomal RNA". It matches the Rfam family "Bacterial small subunit ribosomal RNA", at positions 28 to 507 of the family's 1533-position model. The record is from RNAcentral.
GAUGAACGCUGGCGGCGUGCCUAAUACAUGCAAGUCGAGCGAACAGACGAUGAGCGUUCUCCUCUGACGUUAGCGGCGGACGGGUGAGUAACACGUGGAUAACCUACCUAUAAUACUGGGAUAACUUCGGGAAACCGGAGCCAAUACCGGCUAAUAUAUUGAACCGCAUGGAUCAAUAGUGAAAGACGGUUUUGCUGUCACUAAUAGAUGAAUCCGCGCCGCAUUAGCUAGUUGGUAAGGUAACGGCUUACCAAGGCAACGAUGCGUAGCUGAUCUGAGAGGGUGAUCAGCCACACUGGAACUGAGACACGGUCCAGACUCCUACGGGAGGCAGCAGUAGGGAAUAUUCCGCAAUGGGCGAAAGCCUGACGGAGCAACGCCGCGUGAGUGAUGAAGGUCUCCGGAUUGUAAAACUCUGUUAUUAGGGAAGAAAAAAUGUGUAAGUAAAUAUGCACGUCUUGACGGUACCUAAAGAGAAAGCAACGGCUAACUUCGUG